RNAcentral lists this long non-coding RNA (631 nucleotides) under Capsella rubella. RNAcentral's name for it is "long non-coding RNA (CRUB_LNC002515)". The record is from RNAcentral. Lineage: Eukaryota; Viridiplantae; Streptophyta; Magnoliopsida; Brassicales; Brassicaceae.
GCCAGGCAUUUCCAAAAAAGAAUAUACACUAAAUAGUUAAAUUCUGGUAUGAAACUGGUCAAAUGAGCGUCAGUGUAGCGGCCAAAAAAAUUCCCGCCAAAAUUUAUCGGCCAGGCAUCCUCUCUUUUCUAUGGUUAUUUCAAUUUUGUCCAUUACCAUUUUUCUUUUUUUUUUUUUUUCUUUUUUGAACCACCACUAUCAUCAAAUAUUGUACAUAUUCUUGCUUUUGUAUCGUUGUCGUCGUUGACGAUGUUAUCACCACCAUAAUUUCCUUUACUUUCUCUGAGAAACCAUUCACUGUUAGUUUAUUCACUAAUAACAAAUACGAUGUUGCAUAGGUUUUGUCUUUAAGGGUAGUUUUGAUAAAAAAGCUAAUUUCUUAAAAUUUUGAAUCAAAGGCUAUUUUCUUAAUUUUUUUUUUUGGUCAACGAUUUUCUUAAUUUUUUUGAGUUAAAGGUUAGUUACUAAUAUUACCCUCUCCAAAAAUGAGUUCAUAUAAGGUUAACUCUUCGAUCAUUUGUUUUUCCCCAUACUACCAAAUACAAAAAAAAAUAACUUAAAAGUGAAUAUCUAGGAUGAAUAAUACAGAAUAGUAUUAGACAUGGUUUUCUUGUUUUAGGCGAAGAGGAAG